UAGCUUCCUAGCUUCCAUGCUCUUGUGCCCCAGAAAGGGCAUUGCAGUCACUGCAUGCAGAAAGCAAUCAUAGUGUCAGUACUAAAUGGUAGUGUGGAAACCAGAGCCCUAUCGAGAAAGAGCAGACCUGUCAUUUGGCCUGAAACUCUAAUAAUUAAAAAUGGAUUGCCAGGAUAUGAACUCACAAUAUUUUUGGAUCAACCGACACGAGUGUUGAAAGCAUCUUCAUGGAAGUAUUUUUUUUCUCGAUUUCUAGAUCAGUUGCAGAGUAUAUGUGCUACUCACUACUCUCAAUGUAAACAAUAUUUCUCAGUAUGUGUCGGUUUACAGAAACUGAAACUGUAGCUGUCACUACAGGGCUAUUAAGCAUGUUCUGUGCUACUCACUACAGGGCUAUUAAUCAUGUUCUGUGUUACUCACUACAGGGCUAUUAAGCAUGUCCUGUGCUACUCCUAGGAACUGCUGACAAAUUGUAGCAAAUUUAUCGUUCUUCCUGCAAUAUAAACAAGAUAAACCAAAUUUACCUUUUUUCCUGCAUUAGUUGCAUAACCUUUUCUCUUCCUGUUUCAGGAUGUGCUUGUCUUGGAUAUUGGGGGCCAACCUGAAGCGGUGCAAGCUAACUUCAAGACAUAUACCUACAAGGCCAGAGAAUGGUGCUACAGGAAUGGCGUUCGAGUUGAUGCUACCAAGAUUUGCGGGAGAAAGAAACAUGUCUUCACGACCCCACUGAAAAAAACACUCUACACGAUUGUUAAGAACGGAGAUAAUACUAUAACAUUUAUAAAACAAGGUAGGCAUUGGUGGGAAAAGGGAUACUGCACUGGUGGCAAGGCAUAUGAGAUGAUGCCAGAUAAAGGAUGCAAAAAUUACAUGGAAUGCGCAGACACGGAUCACAUUACACUGCCCUUCUAUGGAAACCACCGUUACAUCUCCAAUGGUGACCCUGGAGGGACACUUAUAGGUGUUCGCUAUCUGAGAAAAGCAUUCACCGCCAUACUUGAGGGCGAAGGGCGCGUAGAUCCCAAGUUUAUUGGCGUAUUUGUCUUGUAUCUCGCUGAAGCUCCGACUUUUGAGGUCAUAUUCCAGGCACUAUAUGAGAAUAUACCUAAUCCAAAUUCCUACCGCCUCGACUUCUUUGUUCCAUAUACCAACACACUCGUGCGCCGCUGGAACAAAUUGAGCAAAUAUGCAAUGAAGUAUAUGCACUGUCUACGAGAAGGCAAGGAGCUUCCAGAACUAGACGAGGAGGUUGCUUUGACUGAAUUAAGCUCCAUUCAAGAGGUUCUCAACCUGGUUAAGAUCCUUCAGUUGGAUGCCUAUAAUCAUGGCAUAUUUAUCCACGAGCCAACACAGAACCCGGACCCAGAGGUGUGGAGUGCAGUGGAUAAUGUAUCUGACCGCAAGAAGAAGUAUGAAAGAAGUCCAACUGCUCCUGAGAGUUAUGUUGCUCAGGUCGAUGAAAGCAUGUUCCAUAUGUUGAAUAUCAACGGGAAAGUGGAGAGCUUAUACAUUGACAAACCCCCCAAUUCAGCACUGAAACUGCGCCAAGGGCAUGGCUUGCUUUCAAACAAAGAAACGAGCUUUUCAAGAUCCAUUGCUAAAAGAAGGAUGAGCACAAGUGAAUCUGCUAACGAGGUGUGUACACAGUUAAACAAUACUUUAAUCCUCUGCAUAUCCAUAUUCUGAUCUUUUGGAACCUUGAAUUGCAGAUACUGGAUACACCAAAAGAUAAGCUGCUCCAGACCAGCAAGGUGAAAAUACCUCGUUUCAGCAUCAUAAAUACCUCACUGAAUGAGGACUUCCUUCUUAAAAGGAUUAGAUUGACAGCUCAAAGGCAGCAUCUAUUUGGUUACCAACCACAAGAGAAAAAGGUUUGAAAAAAAUUGUCUAGUUUGAAUGAUCUGCUAUUCACUUUAUAAUACCGUUGCACCUAUUAUUUGCAGGUUUGUUGUUUUGGAGGAACUACCCUGAGGAAUGCAAGUGAAAGGUUCAUAUCAAGCAGAAUAUUGACCAGAAGAAUGCUCGUGCUGAAACCACUGAUGCUCGGGAUGCACAUGCAGAACUGCCCACAGUGGCGAACAACAGUGCCAGCUAUCAAGGGCCAAGGACACGAUGCUAUCCAUCAGUUUAUUCCUCUAAGCCCGCACGGUCCUAGGCAAGGUUUCAUUGGAAGGUAUUCUCUCUUGCUCCAAAAUACCCAACUGUACACUAAAAUAAGCACCAAGACGGACAAAGUACCCAACUGCUUAUUCUUCUGUUCUCCAAUAUUAAAUUGUUGUGUUUUUCUGUAGCCAACCACUAACGUUCGUUAUGCAUUCCUCUAAUACGAUAAGAAUUUCAAUAUGAUGUCUAUGAUGGCCAUCAAUGUACUUCAUUGUAUUUAUGUUGGUAACUCUUUAGUACCAAAUAACUUGAAGCUAAUGUCGAAUGCUAAGCGUUGCGGUUUCCUUUUCAGGGUAACUUCCCUGAUCAGUAAGCUCAGGCAGAGUUGGAAGUCCUGAUGGUGGGGGUGUUGCAUGAACAUGUGCUAUUUCAGUGGUGCUGUUAACAUGAUGCUGGGAGCCUAUUGCUAUGGUGGUUGGCGUGAAGCCCGUGUUUGCCAUGUCUGAAUAUGUUCGCUAACCCCCAUCUAGGAUUUUGCUGUUUGUUGAUAGGUUAGCUUUAUUUUCGUGAUGUUUCUGCAUUCUCCAAAAUCAGGCAUUGUUGGUUUCUUGCGGAAAGAUGGGAAAUCUAUUGAUGACGUUCAUUAGCCGCCAUGUCAAGUAGAGAAUUAUCAUAUGCAAAACUAUUGUGAUAGGUGAUUCGAUUAAUUCUGCCAUGAUGAUUUCCAGUUUUCCACUAUCUGAAAGUGGGUUGUCAUGCCUGCAAUACAAGCCUUAGGAGCUAUAUUUUGCAGGAUGGUUGGUUGAUGAUGCCAAAGAGGAACAAGCAAAACAUCUUUUCAAUCUUCCAAAUGAAUCUAAGGUUCCAAAAUUUGAAAUGUUUUCCAAGCUUUGGACAUAAAAGUAUUUUGAACUUGAACUGACGAUUAAAUCUGAAAAAUACUAACAGAAGAAGCAAAAUCAUCAUAAUUUCACUGUGUUCUGAACUUAUGAUAUAGCUAAUCAUUGAUACUCGUUAGAGGUAUCUCUGACCAUUCUGCUCUUUUGAUACAUACUGGGUUUAUUAAGGCUGCAGCUGCCAGGCCUUUUAAGUUUUGAGCUUUACUGGCUUGUCAGGGGUGAGCUGCCGAAUGUAGUCUCUAUAAUAAUUUGGAAUUCUAUCGCUCCUAAAAAUAACAGCCUGGAUUGGUGGCAGGCUGUUAUGAGGAAGUUACGAAGCGGGCUUAAGGGUUGGGAUCUAAAUGUUGAGGGGAGUGAGUUACAAGAGAAAGAUAAGUUUUAUUAUUAAUGCUUCAGAUAUACUCCCUCCGUAAAGAAAUAUAAGAGCGUUUAGAUCACUAUACAAGUAGUGAUCUAAACACUCUUGUAUAGUGAUCUAAACGCUCUUAUAUUUCUUUACGGAUGGAGUAGUGAUCUAAACGCUCUUAUAUUUCUUUAUUAGUGAUCUAAAUGCUCUUGUAUAGUGAUCUAAACACUCUUGUAUUUCUUUACGGACGGAGUAGUGAUCUAAACGCUCUUAUAUUUCUUGAUGGAGGGAGUACUUGAUAAGAAGUGCGAGCUUGCUGUAGUCUCAGCAGCUAACUAUGAGAAAAGAAAUACGUACUAGCUUGCAAGAUGAAUUGAAUAAAAUCUUAGAGAGGAAGAAAUCAAAUGGUACCAGCCACAGGGCCGGAGGCUCAUGCGAACGAAGCCACGGGCACUAAACUGAGCAUCCAACAGUGCAGGGGUAAGUGGCAACGGCAGACACCUAGCAACGUCGACGGAAACGUGACGAAGACCACCAGAUCAUGCAAGCGAGAGGCACAGGUCCGGGUGCACGCGGCACCAGGACCAGCCUGAUCAUACAUCAAAAUUAGCUCCUGCCAAACGUCCCGGACAAGGAGAAAAAGAAAAGGAACUUGGUCAGUGAGAAUUUCAUAAAAGAAGAAAGCGGACCAAAACAAAGAUGCAUUCCUCUGACGAUAGAAGGUACCUGAGCAUGUGCUCAUCUGGUGAACAGAGGCAGGCCAAAGGAUGCUGCUGCCGGUGCCCCCGUCAAGACUCACACCUCACAGCAAUCGCAGCGACAGAGAGGGGCCGUUAUAGCAACCUGCGAAAAACAAAAUUGCAACCCUUAGGGAACGGUAGAGCAAGCAAACGACAGCCCAGAGACAGAUAAAAAAGCAAUCUUUUUGAGAAUGAAAAUAGCAAAGACGCUGCAGGGUGGAGGAGCCUGCAACCUGUCCGAUGAGAAUCGCCGGGAGAUCCGCCAGACGGGGCAGCAGCAGCCCAAAUCGAAGAGUAAUCGAUCGACGAGGGGCUGGGGAAAGAGGAGCCGCCGCAUCGGAAGANNNNNNNNNNNNNNNUCGGAAGAGGGGGAAAACAGGAUUUGAUGGGAGUUACUGCGACUAGGGACGAGGCCGAAACUUGCUGUGGAGCAAGGACGCGGAGCUGAGCUUCUGCCGGCCGGGGCGACCCAUCACCACUCACUACAUGCCCCUGGACCUGCCGGACGGGGCGACCCAUCACCACUCACUGCAUGCCCCUGGACCUGCCGGCCGCCGGCGCCGGGCACGACUACGCGAUAGGCGCCGCCGCGAGCUUCCGGUGGUGCAGGCGAGCGCGCGGGAGAGGUGUCUGGCAGCGCCGACGAGACGCAAAGACGCCGGCCAUUGCUGAGGCGGAGGCGGCUAGGGUUCGUGGCCUGGCCUGGUGGCGUGGGUGCGCGUGGGCGAUUGGGUGGCUUGUUUCCUUUUUUCUUUUUUUAGGGGAAAGUCGGGGUAGCUUGUUU
RNAcentral lists this long non-coding RNA (4872 nucleotides) under Hordeum vulgare. RNAcentral describes it as "long non-coding RNA (HVUL_LNC011430)". The record is from RNAcentral. Lineage: Eukaryota; Viridiplantae; Streptophyta; Magnoliopsida; Poales; Poaceae.